Molecule: long non-coding RNA, 2768 nt
Filed under: Homo sapiens (human)
Lineage: Eukaryota; Metazoa; Chordata; Mammalia; Primates; Hominidae
Description: uncharacterized LOC101929258, transcript variant 2 (LOC101929258)
Source: RNAcentral
GCCACCCGGCUGGGAGCGGAGAGAGACUGACGGCGGAGGCGGGGGUCAGGGCGCGGACCCGGACCCCAGCCCCAUGGGGGACAGAGUCCAAAAAAACCGGCCGGGUGGAGGAUGCAGCCGGGCGUGGUGGCUACAAGGAAGUGCCCUGGUGUUAAGAACUCAGCCUCUGAAACCCGCCGCCCAGCUUCGAGUCAGCGACGUACUUUUGUUGUCCCGGCCUUAGUAUCCCCGCUGCAAUAAGAGUGUAAGCUCCUAAAGGCAGAAAUCAAGCUGACCUAAGCAAAGACCUGAAGGAGCUAUGAGGACAUCUGGCAGAAGAGGUAAUGCUACGGGUAAGGAAUUGUACAAACACAUGAGAAAUAUCCACAGAAAGCAUAGCACCUGGCAAGAGGCUGGCCAGCGGCUAUAAACAAGUUAAGGGACUCCUCUGAGCCUCAACAUCCCAUCCCUGGAAUGGAGAGAAGGACGUCUGCCCUGCUUAUCUCAAAAGGACAUCGAUGAGAUCAUAGAAGCCCAAGCUGAGGUUACAUCUGAUGCUAAAAACUAGACGAGAAAGGGUCUGUCUGACCCUCAAGGUCAGCAAUGUGUGUGCAACUCCCCUCUCGGGGUCUGGGGACGCAGCCAUGUGUUCCAUCGCACACCAGGCUUUGGGGAUAUUGUAGGGCUCAGACCGCCGACUGCUAGUUUAUUAAAAGAGCAGCUGCCAUCCCGCCGCGCAGUGGGACAGAGAGCUGCAGCCCGGCGCAGGCUCGACCCCGCAGGGAACCGCGACCCGGGGAUAGGCAGCUCUGGACUGCACUGAUCUGGGACUCUGUCGGCUCUACAGACACACACACGCGCGCGCACACACACACACAUGCACACACGCACGCACACACACACGCACGCACAGCCGCUAGGCCUAGAGUUUAUUUUUCCAGGGGCUGGUGGGGACUCCGCUCCCGCGGCGGGCGGCGGCACUGGAAUGUUAAUUGAAACGGAGCUGGCGAGCGCGGCGCAGAUAAGCGUCGCCCAGCAGCGUCCCCGCCUGCGGCUCCCCGAAUCAGCGAUCCGGGAAGGCCCCGCCGCCUCUCUGGCCGCUGAGGGUUUUCUUUUCCACGCUGAAGGAGUGGAACGCGCGCGGAGGCAGCUCGGCGCCCGCAAACCCCCGGAGUCAGCCCCCGACGGUCUGUCCCAGAACUAAACGGUCUCCGCCACCCAAAGCCGAGAAGCUAAGAGGCCGGCUGGGGGAGGGUGACACGGAGAAAUGGAGAAGCCCACCCAGCGGUUACAUACCGGCAGAUUUUUAUUUCCUUUAACUGGUUGGUUCUUCUAAACAUUUAAUGCAAGAAAUCUCUCGGCCCGCUUCACUUUACUCUCCACCCAUGCUCUUCCCCUAACCCUGAGAAUUUUGCACAGAUUUUCGGGGUUCGCGCGGAGCGCCUCUGAAAGUGAUGGCGGACAAACCGUCAAAAAGGCCUCAGCAUAGCAAUUUAGGAAAAGAUCGUAUCAGAUCCUUAAUUCACACCAUACACUCUAAUACACUCGAAAGUAAGCAAAGAAAUUAUAACAAAUACCAGAAUAAAAUAUGGGUGAAUUCCUUUUUAACCUCAGUGUAGGAAAAGAAAGGUCUUCUCACCAUGACUCAAAUCAAGAAGCAAGUAAACAUAACACAAAUGAUUACAUUUUAUAAAAUGCAUGGUAAGAAAUCACUAUAAAAGAAGUCAAAAGACAAUUGUCAAACAGGAAGAAAAUAUUUGCAACAUAUAGCACACAUAACCAAAGUAACUGAUAUUGAGAAAACUUAAAAAUUGAAAUUGGGAGAUGGAUACAAUUUGCGUUUGUGUAUGUAUGUGUAUAUAUUUAUGUGUUUUUAAUUGUUAUGUAUAUUAUACAUGUAUAUGUAUAGAUACAUACACAUAUGUAUAUAUCCCUUAAACAUAUAAAAGGAUGUUGCACCUCACUUGUAAUUAGAGAAAUGCAAAUUAAAAACAACACUGAGAUACUGUUUCUCACCUAUCAAAUUUGUAAGAAUUAAGAGGCAUGAUCAUGCAUUCCGUUGCCCGGGCUAGCUGGGAAGCAGGCACUCCCAUACAGUACUGGUGGAAUGCAAACCUGUAGAACCUUUCUGGAGAGGAGAACUCCUAAAAAUACUAUAUGUGCAUUUAUGUUUCACCUAUGGUCCCAUUUCUUAGAAAUUUGUCUUUCGACAAAUUCAAUUGACAAUUGUCUUUUGACUCUGAAGACAUGCCUCCAACAAUAUAAAAACACAUACAAACUUAUUAUUGUAAAGUACUGGAAAACUCUAAAUACUCAUUCACAGAACAGUGGUUGAAUAAACUUUGGUACAUUCGUGCAAUGGAGUACUAGGCAACUAUAGAAAACAAUAAGGAAGACCUCUUUGGACCAAUAUGAUGUGACUGCUGAAUAUAUUGUUAAGUGAAAAAAAGGUAACGGCAAAAGAGUAUCUUCAAGAAUCAAUGAGAGCUGGGAACAGCUCAUGUUCUGGGGAGGAGGCUGUGCCGGCCAUGGGGCUUUGGGUGUGUGAUUGACUGCAGGUGUGCUUGCCUUGUGGCAGCAGAAAAAGGAUGCACCAGUGAUCAACCCGUCUCUUAAAUAUGGUAAUCAGAUCAACAUCAUAGAUUUUAAUGAUAAAAGUAUCAUUAUAAAUGAAAACGUUAUCCAUCAAGUGGAUGAAAUUAGGCACAUUAAUGCCAGUCCGGCAGACAAAGGUGAGCUGGUGACAUUCUACAAUAAAAGUUAUUGUGUCUUCUCCUGACUGGACUGGA